GUCCCCAUCGUCUAGAGGCCCAGGACUCCGGCCUUUCACGCCGGCAACCCCGGUUCGAACCCGGGUGGGGACGCCA
RNAcentral lists this transfer RNA (76 nucleotides) under Myxococcales bacterium. RNAcentral's name for it is "tRNA-Glu". It matches the Rfam family "tRNA". Rfam says of the family: Transfer RNA (tRNA) molecules are approximately 80 nucleotides in length. Their secondary structure includes four short double-helical elements and three loops (D, anti-codon, and T loops). The record is from RNAcentral. Lineage: Bacteria; Pseudomonadati; Myxococcota; Myxococcia; Myxococcales.